GAUCCUGGCUCAGGAUGAACGCUAGCGGCAGGCUUAACACAUGCAAGUCGAGGGGCAGCGGGAUGUAGCAAUACAUUGCCGGCGACCGGCGGAUGGGUGCGUAACGCGUAUGCAACCUACCUUAUACAGGGGAAUAACCUUUCGAAAGGGGGACUAACACCCCAUAGUAUUGAUUUAAGGCAUCUUAGAUUAAUUAAAUAUUUAUAGGUAUAAGAUGGGCAUGCGUAUGAUUAGCUAGUUGGUAAGGUAACGGCUUACCAAGGCGACGAUCAUUAGGGGUUCUGAGAGGAAGGUCCCCCACACUGGUACUGAGACACGGACCAGACUCCUACGGGGGGCAGCAGUGAGGAAUAUUGGUCAAUGGGCGCAAGCCUGAACCAGCCAUGCCGCGUGCAAGGAAGACGGCCUUAUGGGUUGUAAACUGCUUUUACAUAAGACUAACCGUAUAUUUGCGAAUAUACCUGAAUGUAUUAUGAGAAUAAGGAUCGGCUAACUCCGUGCCAGCCGCCGC
RNAcentral lists this ribosomal RNA (511 nucleotides) under uncultured bacterium. RNAcentral's name for it is "bacterial SSU rRNA". It matches the Rfam family "Bacterial small subunit ribosomal RNA", at positions 15 to 518 of the family's 1533-position model. The record is from RNAcentral.